AGUAAAAUCCAUUGUGUCAUUUUAGAUUUGGGCCCGUGAAGCCGUUUGGAUGUCGAACUUCUUUCCUUUCUUCUUCGACGAGGCUGCGAGGCAUAGAUGAAGGCGAGAGGCGCUGGUAGAAAACGUCGAUCAGUCUAACUGAUCCCACGGAUGCUCAUCAUCAAUUUCAGGGGAGCUCGCAAAAAAUGGUUCUACCGCUACUAGCAGGACUAGCUGUUGCUGCAGCUGCUCUUGCUGGUAGAUAUGGAAUCCAAGCUUGGCACGCAUACAAGGCACGGCCAGCUGUUCCCCGGGUGCGCAAGUUUUAUGAAGGCGGCUUCCAGCCUACCAUGACUAAAAGGGAAGCUGCUUUGAUUCUGGGAAUUAGGGAAAAUGCCACACCAGAGAAAGUAAAAGAAGCGCACAAGAAGGUGAUGGUUGCUAAUCAUCCAGAUGCAGGGGGAAGUCAUUACCUUGCUUCAAAAAUUAAUGAGGCAAAGGAUGUGAUGCUUGGGAAGACCAAGGGUGGUGGUUCUGCAUUUUGAUUUUUUCUUGUGUUGGAUAUUCUGCAUUGGCCCUUCUGUCAAAGCAAGACUGUGAGUGGAUCUUAAUGAUCUGAUUGUUUUGAGUAUGGAAUUUGAUCUUCUUUGACCCAAGGGUUAAAAAGAACUGUCUUAGGACCUGACUAGGCACCAUGAUAGAUCUAGUGAUAUAUAGAUUGGUGGAGGCAGGUCGUUUGGAAAUUCUGCUUCGCAUUCUGGGACUACAGUGUAAAGAUUAUACAGCCCAGAAGUUCAUUUUGUACUUAUUUUUUUGGGCAGAUACAGAUUUUCACCAUUUUGACCAAGCAGGCUAGAAUUGCACUUUGAACAACAGAUAGAAUGGAGAGUAAACGUUCAUCAACAAAGAAGAAACAAACAAAGCCUGAUAGGUUUAGCACUAGUCAUAAGAGAAAUUGGAGGACUAAAUGCUAAAUGACAGGAGAUUGUUGCAGUCACAGACAAUGGAGACCGGGAGAGCAACCCAAUGAAGAGAGGACACUAUCAUUUGUGGAUUGCAACACAAAAUUAUCAGCAUCGUUCAUACAAACUUGUAUUAUAUCGUAUAGAAGACGUUUUUCUGAUGAAGUGGGAGGUUAGACCACAAGGUUUUAAUUGGAAGAAAGUUUAGGACAAAAGUUACACGAGGUAUCAACCAGCCAAAUAUUCAACAUAUGAUUUUGGCUUCUGGGAAUGUCCUUGUUAUUAUGUUUUUUUUUUCCUUGAUCAGUUGAUUGUAAACUUUUGCCCGUAGAAUUUUCCAUUAUGAAUGUAGUCCAAGUCGAGUUCUGAUUAGACUGGUUUUCAGUAUGCUU
Molecule: non-coding RNA, 1333 nt
Organism: Elaeis guineensis (African oil palm)
Lineage: Eukaryota; Viridiplantae; Streptophyta; Magnoliopsida; Arecales; Arecaceae
Source: RefSeq, a predicted model, not a curated record